This is a long non-coding RNA of Gallus gallus (chicken), 1363 nucleotides long. NCBI's taxonomy places the organism in Eukaryota, Metazoa, Chordata, Aves, Galliformes, Phasianidae. The record is from Ensembl.
UCUACACAUACAGCACUUUGUCAACAAGUUAACAACCUAUAAUUGUGAAGAAAAAGAUGCACCUGGAGAAUUUCGAGAGGACAUUAACCGUGUUUUCAUUGCACUGCUGCACUGGCCUGCAGUCCCACAGUUACAACACUGAAAACUCAAUCUAUUUCCUUGUUACUCAUGAUCCUCCUGGUGAUAUUAAAGGCACAGCACGGUGGUUGACCAAGGAACAGUCACUCUUGCAAUCAGUCUCAGUUCAAAGUAGAGAGAGAGGAACCACAAUCACGCACAAAAGCUUGAGACAUAAGAACUUGUAACCAUGACAGCUGCAUCCUACAAACACUACAGAAGACAGUAACAGCAAUUCCUCCCUGCAAAGCCUGUGUUUACUCAGUUUCCUUUGUAUGCAUUGGCAGUCCCCAUUUAAGUACAGUAUCAGUACCACGACAAAACAGUUUUUAAGGUGUCUUGUCAUCAGAGGAAUGUUGUUGACCCUUCCCUCUUUUCAUGGGGUAAUACAGCAAGUAUUUUCUUUGAUGUGGAUCCUUGAGGCACUGAACAUGUGAACUUUCCAGGACUGCGUUAUUUUAUCUCAAAUAAGGGUCAGGAUUUGCAGGUAGAAAGGGUAUGAUCAACUAGUAAGAAUGGAGGAUUGAAAAAGAUUGACAUGGAAGACGGUUGUCCUGGUUUAGUUGGCAGUUAUACAGACCUGAUGUAGUGGAAAUGUCAUGACCUGAAACGGUGAUUGAGCACCUGGUGGGAAGGCAGGGCCAAUCCAGGGGAGCUCAGGUGCAUGCAAUGCUCCUGAGUGACGAGAAGGGGUGGAGCCAGGAUCCAUUCCCCUCCCAGACCUCAUUUAAGGGUUGGCAGCGGAGGUAAAGGUAUCUUCUGUGGGAGGUUCCUGUCUACUGAAGGUCUUCUACAGGGUUCAGAGAACUGAAAGGAAGGCAACAUCCUUGGAGGGAUUUUCUCAAAGCUGUCACAGGCUUAUUUCAUCCACCACAGAGAAAAGUGAUCCCAGGUACAUCAGCGAGAACUCCUGUGAAACGCACUGACUGCAAUUGACCCCGCAUCCUGCCAAGUCCCAGGAGUGGGACACAAGGGUCUAUUUUUUUUUCCUCCAAGCAGAAAACUAAAAUUACAGGCUUCAAAGGGUCCUGCAACUGUACCAAACAUGAUCCAGAUGCAAGAGUGAAGAAAACAUCUACAAUAUGAUCUAGCUACGGUUCAACCAGCCACAACCGCCCCAUCAGCCUUCUCAGUGCCUCCCUUUGUCCUCUAUCACAGAUGAAUAAAGCGCCUGUGGGAAAUGAUUUGCUGAUAAAAGUAAUUGUAAUUCUUCUUUCCAAAAUAUGUUUGGCAACACAGAAAGCUA